Molecule: ribosomal RNA, 253 nt
Filed under: uncultured bacterium
Lineage: Bacteria
Description: partial 16S ribosomal RNA
Rfam family: Bacterial small subunit ribosomal RNA
Source: RNAcentral
UACGUAAGGACCGAGCGUUGUCCGGAAUCAUUGGGCGUAAAGGGAGCGCAGGUGGUUUCUUAAGUCUGAUGUGAAAGCCCACGGCUCAACCGUGGAGGGUCAUUGGAAACUGGGAAACUUGAGUACAGAAGAGGAAAGUGGAAUUCCAUGUGUAGCGGUGGAAUGCGUAGAUAUAUGGAGGAACACCAGUGGCGAAGGCGACUUUCUGGUCUGUUACUGACACUGAGGCUCGAAAGCGUGGGGAGCAAACAGG